Molecule: long non-coding RNA, 325 nt
Organism: Helianthus annuus (common sunflower)
Lineage: Eukaryota; Viridiplantae; Streptophyta; Magnoliopsida; Asterales; Asteraceae
Exons: 4
Source: RefSeq, a predicted model, not a curated record
AUCGGGGUAAGGCUGACAAAACACCAGAGAUGAUAGAUGGAGAAAGGUGCGGAGAUGCCACUACAAAAAAAAUGCUACAUGUGGAGACAUAGGCAACAAAGAAAAUGAGGCAAAAGAUCAAGAGACGAUAACUACAACAAACAAGAACAACGAAACACAAAACAUGCAAGGAUUGUUUGAUGCGCCUACCUUUCACCUGCUCACACAAGACACCGAAUUAGGUGAUGAUGUCGAUGAUACGCAUGACAAAAAUCAAGAAGGGAAGGGAACGGCUGAAAAUGAUAUCACACGUAAUGCUUGGAUAAAGGAACUUGAAUCAAGACGA